CUCCAAGUUAAGUUGGACCGAUCCUAUUCCCUUCCGUAAGGUAACCUGCGGAAGGAUCAUUAGUGAAUCUAGGACGUCCACUUAACUUGGAGUCCGAACUCUCACUUUCUAACCCUGUGCAUCUGUUUUAAAAUUGGCUAGUAGCUCUUCGGAGCGAACCACCAUUUUUCACUUAUACAAACACAAAGUCUAUGAAUGUAAACAAAUUUAUAACAAAACAAAACUUUCAACAACGGAUCUCUUGGCUCUCGCAUCGAUGAAGAACGCAGCGAAAUGCGAUACGUAAUGUGAAUUGCAGAAUUCAGUGAAUCAUCGAAUCUUUGAACGCACCUUGCGCUCCUUGGUAUUCCGAGGAGCAUGCCUGUUUGAGUGUCAUGAAAUCUUCAACCCACCUCUUUCUUAGUGAAUCUGGUGGUGCUUGGUUUCUGAGCGCUGCUCUGCUUCGGCUUAGCUCGUUCGUAAUGCAUUAGCAUCCGCAACCGAAACUUCGGAUUGACUUGGCGUAAUAGACUAUUCGCUGAGGAUUCCAGACUUGUUCUGGAGCCGAGUUGGGUUAAAGGAAGCUUCUAAUCCUAAAGUCUAUUUUUUGAUUAGAUCUCAAAUCAGGUAGGACUACCCGCUGAACUUAAGCAUAUCAAAAGCGGGGGAAGC
This 651-nucleotide ribosomal RNA is filed under the name Rhodotorula diobovata. RNAcentral describes it as "eukaryotic LSU rRNA". The stretch from base 222 to 375 matches the Rfam family "5.8S ribosomal RNA". Lineage: Eukaryota; Fungi; Basidiomycota; Microbotryomycetes; Sporidiobolales; Sporidiobolaceae. The record is from RNAcentral.